This 279-nucleotide ribosomal RNA is filed under the name uncultured bacterium. Its description in RNAcentral is "partial 16S ribosomal RNA". It matches the Rfam family "Bacterial small subunit ribosomal RNA", at positions 506 to 784 of the family's 1533-position model. The record is from RNAcentral.
UGCCAGCAGCCGCGGUAAUACGAGGGGUGCAAGCGUUAUUCGGAAUCACUGGGCGUAAAGGGUGCGUAGACGGCGCAGAGAGUCUGUUGUUUAAUCUUUCAGCUUAACUGAAAAUUCGCAAUGGAAACUUUUGUGCUAGAGGAUGAGAGAGAGGAGUGGAAUUCCCGGAGUAGCGGUCAAAUGCGUGGAUCUCGGGAGGAACACCAAUGGCGAAGGCAGCUUCUUGGCUCAUUUCUGACGUUGAGGCACGAAAGCGUGGGGAGCGAACAGGAUUAGAUA